ACGCUCGACACCUACGGAGGCAGCAGUGAGGAAUAUUGGUCAAUGGGCGCUAGCCUGAACCAGCCAAGUAGCGUGAAGGAUGAAGGCUCUAUGGGUCGUAAACUUCUUUUAUAUAAGAAUAAAGUGCAGUAUGUAUACUGUUUUGUAUGUAUUAUAUGAAUAAGGAUCGGCUAACUCCGCGCCAGCAGCCGCGGUAAUCUGAGCGGGCUGGCAAGGC
RNAcentral lists this ribosomal RNA (217 nucleotides) under uncultured bacterium. RNAcentral describes it as "partial 16S ribosomal RNA". It matches the Rfam family "Bacterial small subunit ribosomal RNA", at positions 328 to 539 of the family's 1533-position model. The record is from RNAcentral.